AAAACAAACCUACGGGAGGCAGCAGUAGGGAAUAUUGGGCAAUGGAGGCAACUCUGACCCAGCCAUGCCGCGUGCAGGAUGAAGGCGCUCAGCGUUGUAAACUGCUUUUAUCUGGGAAGAACGGUAGUCCUGCGGGAUUAUGUGACGGUACCAGAGGAAUAAGCACCGGCUAACUCCGUGCCAGCAGCCGCGGUAAUACGGAGGGUGCGAGCGUUGUCCGGAUUUAUUGGGUUUAAAGGGUGCGUAGGUGGUUUAGUAAGUCUGGUUUGAAAGCUGGUCGCUUAACGAUCAGAUGUGGCUGGAAACUGCUGGACUUGAAUGCGGUGGCGGUAGCUGGAAC
Molecule: ribosomal RNA, 340 nt
Filed under: uncultured bacterium
Lineage: Bacteria
Description: bacterial SSU rRNA
Rfam family: Bacterial small subunit ribosomal RNA
Source: RNAcentral